UAAUCAGGCAUUCAACAGUUGGCUGACAGUAGUUGCCUUCAGAGGAAAAUCAUUGAAAAGAAUGCACAUAUUAAAAACACAAACCCUACUGAAACUGGAAUUAAAUCUUAAGAAGCUAAAUAUUAGUUGAUUUCUUUUGUUCUCCUUACACAGCAGUAGCUAGAAAAUCAGUCUUAGCUCUGGGUUGCUUUGACAAAGGCAGAGAUAAUCCUUAUAGUUCUCUCAUUGUUAUUUUCCAUCUUGGGAUAUUAUUUUUACUCGCAGCUUUUGCAGAUCUCCACGAUGGUUAACAGAGUAAUUUAUUCCCAUUCCAUGGGUGCCUCCGGCCUCUCCUGCCACAGCAAGUCUAACCAGACCACAGAGAUUAACUGUGGAUUACAUUCAUGUGACUAGAGCACUCAUCCUCUCUUCGUGACUAUGAGUGUUCAAGCCGCAUUUUGGUGGAAAAGCAAUCCACAAAAACGUAGCUAGGUGCUUUCCCGGAAGGGGGCACUAGAAACGGGAGCAAAGCCUCACACUUUAAAUAUUACCAACAAUGCAAAUAAUCCCUUACCGAAAUAACCUGUUGUCAUUCCAGAUCAGGUUUUAUGGCAUGCUGAGUAAACAAGCGCAGAGCUCUCGGGCACGUGUUUUUAGCUUUAGAUGCGCUUUUACCAGUGUUAGUUUACCGGCAAACCCCUGAAAAUAACCCCCCCCUUUCGGCCGCCUCAGCGUCAGGAGGAAGGGGCGGCAGCUGGAGCGCCACCACCGCCCGGCCGCGGGGGAUCCCGCGGCGCGCAGCCACGCCGCGGGGGACAGCGGGCGCCGCGCGGCAGCCAGGCACUGGCGGGCCCGGCAGCGCCCCCGCGCCCCGCCCCGCCGAGUCCCCGUCCGGACCCCCCUUCCCUCACCACCACCGGGCGGCCACAGCUCCUCUUACCUUCCUCCAGCGGAGAAGGAGGGAGCGGGGGGGCGGCGGGCGGCCCGCUCCCCUCAGCCCGCGCCGCCGCGCCGGGAGGCGGAGGGCCCCGCCGGCGCGCGGCGCCGCUGCCGGCCAACGGCCAUCGCCCCCCGGCCGCCGCACCGGAACCGCGGCGCUUCCGGCAUGCGAGGGAACUGCUUCCGGCGCGCGCCCGUCUGUAUCCGAGGCGACGGUGAAGGCGGCGCGGGGGGCGGGUUGGCCGGCGGCCAUCUUGGCUCGGGCCCUCCGCCCCUCUGUGGACUCGUGGCCUCGCCCAAAAUGGCGGUGGGGGGCUGCGGCSGCGCCUCCGUUCUUUCACCCCUUCGCCCUCCUGUUGCCGCCGGCGCAGCCGUGUCUUGGUCUAGCCAACGCUGGCGCCUUCAUGCAGCCAUGGGCCGCUCCGCCUGGCGGAGAGGCCGGGUCUGGGCAGCGCGGCCGCGGCGAGGCCCGCAGUGCCUCUCCUUGCGCUCGCGAAGUGGAGAUGCUGCCAGCAAGGUGCACGUCGGCCGCUGGCUGCGUUAGCCAGGUGGUGAGGCCCCAGUUGAUGUAG
RNAcentral lists this long non-coding RNA (1490 nucleotides) under Apteryx rowi (Okarito brown kiwi). Its description in RNAcentral is "lncRNA (ENSARWG00000017359.1)". Lineage: Eukaryota; Metazoa; Chordata; Aves; Apterygiformes; Apterygidae. The record is from RNAcentral.